RNAcentral lists this ribosomal RNA (488 nucleotides) under Staphylococcus aureus. RNAcentral's name for it is "partial 23S ribosomal RNA". It matches the Rfam family "Bacterial large subunit ribosomal RNA", at positions 1603 to 2092 of the family's 2925-position model. Lineage: Bacteria; Bacillati; Bacillota; Bacilli; Caryophanales; Staphylococcaceae. The record is from RNAcentral.
CACUGCCGAGAAAAGCCUCUAGAUAGAAAAUAGGUGCCCGUACCGCAAACCGACACAGGUAGUCAAGAUGAGAAUUCUAAGGUGAGCGAGCGAACUCUCGUUAAGGAACUCGGCAAAAUGACCCCGUAACUUCGGGAGAAGGGGUGCUCUUUAGGGUUAACGCCCAGAAGAGCCGCAGUGAAUAGGCCCAAGCGACUGUUUAUCAAAAACACAGGUCUCUGCUAAACCGUAAGGUGAUGUAUAGGGGCUGACGCCUGCCCGGUGCUGGAAGGUUAAGAGGAGUGGUUAGCUUCUGCGAAGCUACGAAUCGAAGCCCCAGUAAACGGCGGCCGUAACUAUAACGGUCCUAAGGUAGCGAAAUUCCUUGUCGGGUAAGUUCCGACCCGCACGAAAGGCGUAACGAUUUGGGCACUGUCUCAACGAGAGACUCGGUGAAAUCAUAGUACCUGUGAAGAUGCAGGUUACCCGCGACAGGACGGAAAGACCCC